RNAcentral lists this long non-coding RNA (565 nucleotides) under Rattus norvegicus (Norway rat). RNAcentral's name for it is "long non-coding RNA NONRATT010147". The record is from RNAcentral. Lineage: Eukaryota; Metazoa; Chordata; Mammalia; Rodentia; Muridae.
AGCAUGCUCUUGGGCUUCAAGUCCUAAUGAACAACGAUAUUAACUCAUCCGUGGAAAGCCUUAACUCAGCUUGCAACAUGCAGUCUGACACUGACACUGUGCCACUUCUUGAGAAUGGCCAGAGUGCCAGCAACCAGCCGUCAGCAUCCAGCUCCCGGGGACAGCCUCAGGCGUCCCCGAGGCAGAAGAUGCAGCGCUCGCAGCCUGUGCACAUUCAACCGCUCAGGCGCCUUCAGGAGGAAGACCAGCAGCUCCGAACUUCAUCUCUUCCGGCCAUCCCCAAUCCGUUUCCGGAGCUCGCUGGGGGGGCCCCUGGGAGCCCUCCUUCGGUUGCUCCUAGCUCCUUACCUCCUCCUCCGAGCCAGCCUCCUGCCAAGCAUGUAAGUGGUCCCUGACUACAGCACGGUGAUGCAUUUCUUUGUGGAGAAAGGAGGGAAGUUCUAAGAUGGCCUCUUUGGGUUGAUACUGAACUUCUUUUGUCUCAUGAGUCCUUUUAAUGCAUUGGCUAAAAUUCAAUUUACUAAGUUAAGAAUGUAUCAGGGUAGUUUUGCAAAAAAAAAAAAAA